GACGAACGCUGGCGGCGUGCUUAACACAUGCAAGUCGAACGGAAAGGCCCUGCUUUUGUGGGGUGCUCGAGUGGCGAACGGGUGAGUAACACGUGAGUAACCUGCCCUUGACUUUGGGAUAACUUCAGGAAACUGGGGCUAAUACCGGAUAGGAGCUGGUGCUGCAUGGUGGGGGUUGGACAGUUUAGGCGGUUGGGGGUGUACUCUCGGCUUACCAGCUUGUUGGUGGGGGAGUGGCUUACCAAGGCUUUGGUGGGUAGCCGGCCUGGGAGGGGGGCCGGCCACAAUGGGACUGCGGUACGGCCCAGACUCCUACGGGAGGCAGCAGUGGGGAAUAUUGCACAAUGGGCGGAAGCCUGAUGCAGCAACGCCGCGUGCGGGAUGACGGCCUUGGGGUUGUAAACCGCUUUCGCCUGUGACGAAGCGUGAGUGACGGUAAUGGGUAAAGAAGCACCGGCUAACUACGUG
RNAcentral lists this ribosomal RNA (468 nucleotides) under uncultured bacterium. RNAcentral describes it as "partial 16S ribosomal RNA". It matches the Rfam family "Bacterial small subunit ribosomal RNA", at positions 28 to 507 of the family's 1533-position model. The record is from RNAcentral.